RNAcentral lists this long non-coding RNA (279 nucleotides) under Brassica napus (rape). Its description in RNAcentral is "long non-coding RNA (BNAP_LNC024164)". Lineage: Eukaryota; Viridiplantae; Streptophyta; Magnoliopsida; Brassicales; Brassicaceae. The record is from RNAcentral.
UAGUACAUAUUGGUGAACAAAAUAGAACACUCUUUAUUAAUUGUCAAAUGAAACGAUACAUGUUCACUAAACCCAAAUUCCAACCCUGUCCUUCUAAAUACUAAACCCUAAAUCCUAAUCAAUAAACCCUAAACCCAAGUAUAAACCCUAAACCCAAAUAUAAACCAUAAACCCUAAACUCAAAACCCAAAUCUCAAAAUCUAAUACUGGCCUCAAACUCACUCCUAUUACUCUAAAUACUAAACCCUAAUCACUAAUUACAAAACCCUAAACUCAAAU